Molecule: ribosomal RNA, 468 nt
Filed under: uncultured bacterium
Lineage: Bacteria
Description: partial 16S ribosomal RNA
Rfam family: Bacterial small subunit ribosomal RNA
Source: RNAcentral
GACGAACGCUGGCGGCGUGCUUAACACAUGCAAGUCGAACGGAAAGGCCCUGCUUUUGUGGGGUGCUCGAGUGGCGAACGGGUGAGUAACACGUGAGUAACCUGCCCUUGACUUUGGGAUAACUUCAGGAAACUGGGGCUAAUACCGGAUAGGAGCUCCUGCUGCAUGGUGGGGGGUGGAAAGUUUCGGCGGUUGGGGAUGGACUCGCGGCUUAUCAGCUUGUUGGUGGGGUAGUGGCUUACCAAGGCUUUGACGGGUAGCCGGCCUGGGAGGGUGACCGGCCACAUUGGGACUAAGAUACGGCCCAGACUCCUACGGGAGGCAGCAGUGGGGAAUAUUGCACAAUGGGCGGAAGCCUGAUGCAGCAACGCCGCGUGCGGGAUGACGGCCUUCGGGUUGUAAACCGCUUUCGCCUGUGACGAAGCGUGAGUGACGGUAAUGGGUAAAGAAGCACCGGCUAACUACGUG